Esox lucius (northern pike) is the source of this 1663-nucleotide long non-coding RNA. Lineage: Eukaryota; Metazoa; Chordata; Actinopteri; Esociformes; Esocidae. The record is from Ensembl.
CGUGUCUCUAAUCACUACAUUUGAGUUUGCUGUUUGAGUUUGUAAUUAAAAUAAAAUUGCCAUUUUGAAAGCUACACCCUCCUCCUUCCAUGGCCUUUCCUAAAUAGGCGUAUAUUACAUUGUUCCGUUGUCAGAAUUCUAAAUUAACAAACGGAAAACUAUUUAUGGACUAUUUGCCAGUUUUUUUACCCUAUUUUCCGACAUAAUCGGCCAACAACCCACAGCACUUAUUGUUGGUGCCCAGGCAGCCCGCUAAUGGUACCCAAAUGGCGCUAAUCACUCCUCAUUGAAUGCAUGACAUCAAUGGAUGAAUGCGUUAUACUCCCAGAUGAAUAGUUGAAUUUGGAUGGAGUUACAAAUGAUAUACAAGAUCCAUGACCAUUCAACAAUUUAAUUUGGCUAUUAUUGAAACGAUAUAGGCUAUUUGACAAUUCAACAUAUGUAUCAGAUGUUACCAUUUUUCAAUAGGAGAUUCAGCUUCUUGUGUAGGCUAAUUCAUUCAUGUAAAUCUAAAAUUGAAAUCUAAAUAUUUUACCUAUAGCCAACUACCAAUUCAACAAAGAUAUUACACGUUACUAUUUUUAUUUGGAGAGUUAUAGAGAGAAACAAAAUCAUAUACACAUCCUAUCAUCUCUGUUUUUCUCUGCUUGUUUUACUGAAGAUCAAGUUUCUACAAAUGCAUUACACUAAAUAAUUAUUCACAAAACGAAAUACCAACGAUCACCAUUGAUCAAUUCACAAUCGAAAAAUGCCUUUUUUAUAUUUUCAUGUAAGCAAACCAUUCUUUGAAAUUGUGUACAUGUUGUUUACAUUCUUUUUCAGUUGUUACAUGUCUAGCUUGGGAACCUCUGCUGCUUUCCCCUGCAUUUUAGUUGCAAUGCCACCUUGCACCUUCAAUUUGCACAUUUUUACAUUGCACUGAUAACAUACAUUGUCCUUAAUUGUUUCACUUGUACAUUUUUUGCACUUCUGGGUAGAUGCUAACUUCAUUUCGUUAUACUGUACUUUUGAAUCUAAUCUAAUGAAUAACAAUGAAAUAUGUGUGUGUGUGUUAGGGGAGCAUUUGCCAUCGUCUCCACCCAGCAGUUAGUAGGUGGAGCACCAGAGAGUGGGAGAGUAUGCAGCGCCACGUGAAGCAACUGUCAUAGUACUGCCCCCCCUAGGCGCGGCUCCUGACAACGCCACCUGGCAGGUGGAGACGACAGGCAUGGAACUCGACUGUCAGGGAGGGGUCGCAGAUGUCCACCGCCAGCUCCGUCCACCCCAUCUCCAUACCUCAGGACCGUAUCCCACCCAGUCCACCAGGUACUGGACCUGGCCACGCCAUAGCUGGAAGUCCAGAAUCACCUCAACCCUGUACGCCAGACCCCCAGCUACCUUCACUGGAGGCGGAAGUGUCUCUGCAGGACCGGAUCCCCCCCAGCAGACCAGGAAACACCGGCAUGAGGAGAGUGGAAGAGAUGUUAGUGUAUGGUGGAAUCAGUUGGAGUUAAUUUGUGACCUUGUUUACCUUCCGGAGGACCUUGAAUGGCCACACGUACUGGGGACCCAGCUUACGACAGGCAGGUGGGAGGUCCCUUGUGGACGGCCACGCCUUGUCCCCCAGGGCAGUACUCAGGAUCGUUGCUGCACCUUCUGAUGCUGCACUACCUCCUGCAGGCGG